Molecule: long non-coding RNA, 4344 nt
Organism: Ornithodoros turicata
Lineage: Eukaryota; Metazoa; Arthropoda; Arachnida; Ixodida; Argasidae
Exons: 3
Source: RefSeq, a predicted model, not a curated record
CGCGCUCCGGCUUGGCAUGACUUUUGGCUUGGUUUCUUCCGCUAAGCCGGCCAGUUUCUUCUGCCGAGCCGUCUGCUGCGCAGAUUCACAUUGGGGAAGUGAUAAACAGUUCGCUAUUAGGGAGCCAGUAUAUUUCUGGACCCACGAGGAACGUGAGUUUUGCUUCCUUCGACUGCAAAGCAUUUGCUAGGCAAGUACAGACUUCCUGGUGUGAUUCGUGUUCUGUGCUGCGUGCCGAGAAUGCGUGAGCGUUUUGCUCCCGUUUGCAAGAACACUUCAGCAUGCAGUUCCAAUGUUUCAAACCACAAUUUUCCGAAAGGCGAAAGAGAAAUCUAUUGACUGCAACAAUCGGUUACAACUCCGACUGGGUGCCACAUUCGAAAGCAGCGAUUUGAUCUGUUCAUCUGGUUCAUACGAAUGUUACGGAAGCAAUACGCAACUUGUUUCACAAGAAGCCGAAGAUGUCUCGUCCGGGAUGCUGUGCCAACCUUAUCUGCAGCAGGAGAUUGCAGGGGCAGGACUAGGCAGCAGAUAAAGGCAUUCUGGCACCACCGAAAAGCUUGCACUCCACGUCUCAACUAUCACCGUCUGGGUUUCAAGCUGAAGGCUGUCACCAGUGCCAACCAGACGCCCCUUCAAAGUUCAUCUGUUUUUGUUGACGGAACAGUGACACCUGGUAAACCUGUCACGCAGAUGCCCUACCCCUUGGUAUGCAUAGUUCAAGAUUGUACCGAAACACCGAACAAUCCACCUGGAGCAUUAUUCAUCAAUUGGCAGUGGCAUUACUAUCACAACGCACCACAUACUGCAUGUCUGUGGUGUACAAUGCAUCAAACCUAUUUUCAGGUACAGGCCAGCUGGUACGCAAUUACAACAUGAAACAACUGACACAGAGACCGUAAAGUCAUGCCUUUUCCUCUGCGCCUCGGGUUUCAUGUUAUUAUCCUCACAUGCAGCUCCAUUCGCCUUGCUGUGCAGCAUGAGCAAAAGCAUAUAUUGUUUGUGGUCACAUGACACGGAACAUAAAUACAGUGAAACCUUCCUAUGUUGGACACCCGCGGUGCAGCCGCAGCGUCUCCUACUUAUAGAGGUGUCCGAGUUACAGAAUAUGACGGCAACAAAAAAUGGAAGAGAUCACAGCUGUGAGAAAUGUCCCCCUUCUUCAAUUUAAGGUCCUUAGUGGUACCUGGUGGUGGUGCCUGGUAGUGGUACCUCUACCCACUCUUCACUGAUAAUUAUUACUGAUUUUAGUAUAUUCAAUUCUGUUCGGAUUCUACUCAAUGGCAUUACCUCUGGAGCUUUUCGAGCAGCAAGGACUUGUCUCUGAAGCGUCAGCCCACUUCUCAUAGCUUUGGUGCAGUGCUCGUUCAAAGGCUCUAGACAAACUGAAGACAAGUGCUCACAUAAAGAAUUACAAUGUAGACUGACAGCACUUGUUUUUGGACUCUAAAUUAAACUAAAGCAACAAAAUGCUGAUACCAGUAUAGGGGAAAAAAGGGGCAAAAGUCAAGGCCACUGGCUCAUUUUGGGUCUUUUUGGUGCAAAGAUGGGCCGAUAUUGAGGUAAUUUGGUCAGGGUUUUGUCCGACUUUGCAGGGAAAACCCUAUCCUACUUCCAAGAUAGUGAUGUGUCCGACCAAGAGAAUUUCGUCCCCGUGUAGUUUCAAUAGGAGCCUGCCCGUGCAACGAAAUCAUGGGGGGUUGUCCGAGGUAGGGGGGUGUCCGACUUUGGAGGUUUUACUGUACUAUAGAGCAUUCUACAUCAUGCAAUCUAACAGUUGUUCACGUUUGGAUAUUUUAACCAUGGAAUUUACCCUGCAUGCACCAUACCAUGUCCAAACACAAACAACUGCUAGACAGCAGCAUGUACUGUUGCCGUAUAGCACUUAUGGCUUGCGUCCUGUGAUCGGAAACAGUGGUAUCUUUUUCUGCUACAAUCGGUAAACUACAGUAAAGAUUUAGAAAUGCUGUGUCAUACCAUAAAGCACUAUGAGAAAUGGCAGUUUGAAAAACUGGAGAAGACUGUCAUUAGAAUGGGGGACAUAAAUUUUUUGCAGUAUGUGCUGUACCACGUAAUGCACUGCAGGCCCACCACAGUAUGGUAACGCUCUGAAUACUGAUUUGCUCAAAAAAGGAACGUGUGCGUUUCUUGUACUAACUUCCCCGUAUGCAAAGUAAAAGAAAAAUGUUUUCAGCCAAUGGGGAGGGAGAGGACAUCGUUCUGGAGUCUCGUUGACCUACAGUGUGUCAUGUGUGAAGGUCAUUUUGAAGAGUGUAGGUUGUACAAGACUGUGUUCCCACAUUCUUGGCAGUGUUGACUAAUAACCAUAAUAAAGUAGAGGGUACAUUUCUUGCUUCAUAUAUUUGUGUCAUGGUAAAGUAUGUAGAGAUACAUCUGUCUCAACAUGCAGGUGCCAAAACUGCUUUUUGUGCCUAAAAUAUGACAAAUCGUUGUCUGCUCAACACCACUAAUCAUGUGCCGGCCUCCAUGACGUGUCUGUGACAUUCCAAAGUGAUUAACAUGUACCAUAGAUGUGUGCAAUGCUGAAGAUGACUGUGCACCUUCUAUGGAUUCUUGUUUCAAGAAAAGUACUCUGUGAUUUGUACCUUCACAAUUGUACAUAAAAAGUUUCCGGAAGGAAACAUCAUGAAGGUCCAUAGCGAAAAACCCUGAGACGAGGGAUAGGAAGGGAGAAGGGACAUACACAAUGUCUCAACAUAGCAUGUUUAUGUCCCUUCUUGUAUCUCCUCGUCAGGUCUCGCCAUCAUGGACACUAUCACCAGCUCGCUUGCUGUUGAACCGUUCUUUCAACGAUAAGGGUGACUUUCAUGGACUGGAUUGCAGCCAACAUGCUGUCAAUAAAAAGAAUAAUGGAAGGAGCUCAAUAUGAUCCUUAGGCUGUGUGUGGUCAUUGCUUUCUGACAAAUGGUGACUUAGAAUUUCAGGAGAGUGCCUGCAGUGGAUGGUGACUUAGAAUUUCAGGACAGUGCCUGCAGUGGUAGUAUUCUUGUGUUCUCACCCUUGACGCCCAUUGUGUGUCAUCGGUCACCUGUAAUCUGCUAAUAUGCACAUAGCUAAAACAAAGUAUAUGUGUAUUUCUUUGAAUACAGUUGGUACAGCACAUUGUUUUUUACAUGUUCUUUGGAAAAUAUAAAUAAAAAAAUUAUCUACUCUGCAAGUCUCCUGUCAGCUCUACUGAGCGGCUUCGAAUUUUACUAGAAGCCACGUGUGAAACCAAACUAGUGGUGAAAGUCCAUAUAGGUCAUAGAUAGAUACUAUUAUUAUUAUUAGAUCAUAGGUCAGGCUUAGGUCCUGAUUGGUAGCAAUGCAUUUGAAUCUUACUAAAAAUUGGUGCAGGAGGUGACCAACAUAACUAAAUACACCAACUGACCCUCACAAAUUUUGUGGUGUUAUACUUUUGAAACAACAUUAAUACGCUGCAGUGGUCUUUUCUCCUUUGUUCCUUUUAACCUAGAAAUAUUAGGUCUUCGGCAUCACCAGCCUUAGUUGCUGAGCAUGCAGUUAUUUACGCUGAGCACUGCAGUUUCAUAUUUGUUUCUCUCGACAAGCAAGCCCGCUUCCCCAUUUUGAUAAGAGUCUUUCAGCUUUGACAGGGCAUUUGUGAACAAGGAAAACAUUUAGACUAUUGCGUAUUUUGCUAUGAAGUGCACCGUACAAGGCAGAGGACACCAUCAACCAUUUCCACCAAGGUUAUUAAAUUUGUGAUAAAGUACAUAUACCUUUUGUCACUGACUAAUUUGGUGGCAAAGUUACUUGAGUGACAGUUGUGCAAUUUUAAGCACAUGUUUAAAAAAAAUAGGAUAUGGGAAGUGCUGACUGGUUGAACAUGUGGAGUACCCAAUAUAAUAAUUGGGGGUUUACGUCGCCAGACAACUGAGUGUGGAAUACACAGCACAGUGUAAUGUUCCUUAUUCUGGCAAUGUUAGCAUGGUUCAAGAAGUGGGAAAUGUUGCACUACCCUUAAUAACAUCUGUUGGGCCGAGCAAACAGGAUACACAUACCCUGAUCUGAAGACAGCAUGCCUAACUCAAAAGCAAUAUGAGAUCGACCCGUACGUGUUUAUUUGCGAAACUAUUAUGAAUGAAAUAUGACCUGUGUGGUAUAGAACAAUGCGCACACUCAAGUAAACAUGCAAAAAAUACGUAUAAGGGCUCUCGACCUACAUGCCGCGAUGCGCUCUACGUGAUAAACAACACACUACAAAACUACAUCCAACACUUUUUGUGCGGGGCAACUCUAAUGAGCACUUUCAUAUAACCGACGAAUGGUUCAACGAAUGCAGUUCGAGUGGUCACGAUACAUUCCUACGUCGUUCAUUGCAGU